UGGAUUCGCUAGUAAUCGCGCAUCAGCCAUGGCGCGGUGAAUACGUUCCCGGGCCUUGUACACACCGCCCGUCAAGCCAUGAAAGCCGGGGGCGCCUGAAGUCCGUGACCGCGAGGGUCGGCCUAGGGUGAAACCGGUGAUUGGGGCUAAGUCGUAACAAGGUAAC
This 166-nucleotide ribosomal RNA is filed under the name uncultured bacterium. RNAcentral describes it as "partial 16S ribosomal RNA". It matches the Rfam family "Bacterial small subunit ribosomal RNA", at positions 1327 to 1500 of the family's 1533-position model. The record is from RNAcentral.